RNAcentral lists this long non-coding RNA (5825 nucleotides) under Homo sapiens (human). Its description in RNAcentral is "HSALNT0391070". The record is from RNAcentral. Lineage: Eukaryota; Metazoa; Chordata; Mammalia; Primates; Hominidae.
AGAGCCAUGUAUAAAAAUGGACUAGCUCUCUCCCUCUCCCUCUCCCUCUCCCUCUCCCUCCCUCUCCCUCUCCCUCUCCCCACGGUCUCCCUCUCCCUCUCUCCACGGUCUCCCUCUGAUGCCGAGCUGAAGCUGGACGGUACUGCUGCCUGAUUCUCCUGCCUCAGCCUGCCGACUGCCUGCGAUUGCAGGUGCGCGCCGCCACACCUGACUGGUUUUCGUAUUUUUUUGGUGGAGACGGGGUUUUGCUGUGUUGGCCGGGCUGGUCUCCAGCUCCUAACCGCGAGUGAUCCGCCAGCCUCGGCAUCCUGAGGUGCCGGGAUUGCAGACGGAGUCUCGUUCACUCCGUGCUCAAUGGUGCCCAGGCUGGAGUGCAGUGGCGUGAUCUCGGCUCGCUACAACCUUCACCUCCCAGCAGCCUGCCUUGGCCUCCCAAAGUGCCGAGAUUGCAGCCUCUGCCCGGCCGCCACCCCGUCUGGGAAGUGAGGAGCGUCUCUGCCCAGCCGCCCAUCGUCUGGGACGUGAGGAGCGUCUCUGCCUGGCCGCCAUCCCAUCUAGGAAGUGAGGAGCGCCUCUUCCCUGCAGCCAUCCCAUCUGGGAAGUGAGGAGCGUCUCUGCCCGGCCGCCCAUCGUCUGAGAUGUGGGGAGCACCUCUGCCCUGCCGCCCCGUCCGGGAUGUGAGGAGCGUCUCUGCCCGGCCGCCCCCUCUGAGAAGUGAGGAGACCCUCCGCCCGGCAACCGCCCCGUCUGAGAAGUGAGGAGCCCAUCCGUCCAGAAGCCACCCCGUCUGGGAAGUGAGGAGCGUCUCUGCCCGGCAGCCACCUCGUCCGGCAGGGAGGUGGGGGGGUCAGCCCCCCGCCCGGCCAGCCUCCCCGUCCGGGAGGGAGGUGGGGCGAUCAGCCCCCUGCCCGGCCAGCCGCCCCGUCCGGGAGGUGAGGGGCGCCUCUGCCCGGCCGCCCCUACUGGGAAGUGAGGAGCCCCUCUGCCCGGCCAGCCGCUCCGUCCAGGAGGGAGGUGGGGGGGUCAGCCCCCCGCCCGGCCAGCUGCCCCGUCCGGGAGGGAGGUGUGGGGGUCAGCCCCCCGCCCAGCCAGCCGCCCCGUCCGGGAGGGAGGUGGGGGGGUCAGCCCCCCGCCCGGCCAGCCUCCCCGUCCGGGAGGGAGGUGGGGGGAUCAGCCCCCUGCCCGGCCAGCCGCCCUGUCCGGGAGGUGAGGGGCGCCUCUGCCCGGCCGCCCCUACUGGGAAGUGAGGAGCCCCUCUGCCUGGCCGGCCGCCCCGUCCGGGAGGGAGGUGGGGGGGUCAGCCCCCCGCCCGGCCAGCCGCCCCGUCCGGGAGGUGAGGGGCGCCUCUGCCCGGCCGCCCCUACUGGGAAGUGAGGAGCCCCUCUGCCCGGCCACCACCCGGUCUGGGAGGUGUACCCAACAGCUCAUUGAGAACGGGCCAUGAUGACAAUGGCGGUUUUGUGGAAUAGAAAGGGGGGAAGGGUGGGGAAAAGAUUGAGAAAUCGGAUGGUUGCCGUGUCUGUGUAGAAAGAGGUAGACGUGGGAGACUUUUCAUUUUGUUCUGUACUAAGAAAAAUUCUUCUGCCUUGGGAUCCUGUUGAUCUGUGACCUUACCCCCAACCCUGUGCUCUCUGAAACAUGUGCUGUAUCCACUCAGGGUUGAAUGGAUUAAGGGCGGUGCAAGAUGUGCUUUGUUAAACAGAUGCUUGAAGGCAGCAUGCUCCUUAAGAGUCAUCACCACUCCCUAAUCUCAAGUACCCAGGGACACAAACACUGCGGAAGGCCACAGGGUCCUCUGCCUAGGAAAACCAGAGACCUUUGUUCACUUGUUUAUCUGCUGACCUUCCCUCCACUAUUGUCCUGUGACCCUGCCAAAUCCCCCUCUGCGAGAAACACCCAAGAAUGAUCAAUUAAAAAAAAAAAAAAUGGACUAGGGGCAGGGCACAGUGGCUCACGCCUGUAAUCCCAGCACUUUGGCAGGCUGAGGCAGGUGGAUCACCUGAGGUCGGGAGUUCGAGACCAGCCUGACCAACAUGGAGAAACCCCACCUCUACUAAAAAUACAAAAUUAGCCGGGUGUGGUGGUGCAUGCCUGUAAUCCCAGCUACUUGGGAGGCUGAGGCAGGAAAAUCGCUUGAACCUGGGAGGCAGAGGUUGCAGUGAGCUGAGAUCGCGCCAUUGCACUCCAGCUUGGGCAACAAGAGCAAAACUCCGUCUCAAAAUAGAAUAAAUAAAUGGACUAGGGAGAGGGACUGGGGGGACGAGAAGAGGGGGCCCAGUGGGAAAUGAUGAGGGUCUGUACUCAGGUGGGGAGAGUGGCAGCAGGGCUGGAGAAGAGGGGUGUUGAGGAGGACUUGAGGAGCUGGGCAGCAAAGGACCAGACCAGAGGGGCCACCCAGAGCUGGCGAGAGGUGUCAUCCCUGUCCACAUUCCCAUAGGGACAGCAGCGGAGGGAUCUUUGAUUUCACUAGAGGCAGAACCAGGAAAAGUAGGUUUAAGAUUUGGGAUUAGGCCAGGCAUGGUGGCUCAUGCCUGUAAUGCCAGCACUUUGGGAGGCUGAGGCAGGCAGAUCAUUUGAGGUCAGGAGUUCAUAACCAGCCUGGCCAACAUGGUGAAACCCCGUCUCAACAAAAAAUACAAAAAUUAGCCGGGCUUGGUGGUGCGCACCUGUAGUCCCAGCUACUAGGGAGGAUGAGGCAGGAGAAUCACUUGAACCCAGGAGGCAGAGGUUGCAGUGAGCUGAGAUUGCACCACAGCACUCCAGCCUGGACGACAGAGCAAGACUCUGUCAAAACAAAACAAAACAAACACAAUAAAAGAUUUGGGAUUAAAGGAUUGGAGGAACAUCCUGGCUCCACAGAAUGUGACACUUGAUACCAUCCAGCCAGAGUAGCCCAGGGCUUCACGCAGUCUGUGGGAUGGAGAAGGAGGGACAGCUGGUGGCUCCUGGUGGGGACACGUGUCCCGUUUUGCCUCCAUUUGUUGGGUGACCUUAGUCCACCUACCAACCACUUUGUGCCUUGGUUUCCUUAUCUGAAAAAUGGGAAUCAAAUGGUACCUAACUCACAGGGUUGCUAGGAGGUUUCACUUCUCUGUGUAAAGCACUAAGAUGCCUGGCUCAGUAGACACGGCCUCAUGUUGCCAUUUCACACGCCAGCGCCCACGCAGCACCCAGGCAGCACCAGCUAAUGGAGGGCAGUUAACGUUGGUGAUGUGGGGGCAGGAGGCACGAUCUUGGCAAAUACCAGGCCUGGCUUCAAAGGAAGGCCCAGGUUCGGGGCCACCUUCUGGGCUUGGGCUUAGGUGCAAUUUUUUUUUUUUUUUUUUGAGAUGGAGUCUUGCUCUUUUUCCCCAGGCUCGAGUGCAAUGGUGCAAUCUUGCUCACUGCAACUUUUGCCUCCCGGGUUCAAGUUAUUCUCCUGCCUCAGCCUCCAAGUAGCUGGGAUUACAGGCGUGAGCCAUCAUGCCCGGCCUUGGGUGCUAUUUUGAACCCCUUUGAUGCCCUGUGAGCAGCUCUCACUUGCCACUCACCCAAUGCCUGGGGGGCAGGGAGGUCGACGCUUCAUGGAGAUUUCCAUAGGAUGGAUGCCUGGUCCAGCAGGGUCCCAAUGGGCAGGGGCAGAGGCAGGCAGAGGAAAGGGUCACAAAUCUCAUAGCCCUAGAAGGGAGUGAGAAGAGGAACUGGCGGGCACAGCCACUCACAUCAUAGCAGAGGACCUGCACCGUCAAAGCCAAACUAGCAGCAUGUCCAAGACCCAAAUCCUUCAUCUGCUUACCCUCCUUCCCACCUCCCCCAAAACUGUUUCUAGCAUGUCCCCCUCCCCAUAGAAGGCAUCAUCACCCCCUCCACUCUUCACCCCCCCCCCAAAGCCAGCCAGUCCACAGCUAUCCCUUUCGGUCCCACCUGCAGCCAGCCCCUAAACCUACCACUGCCCUCAGUCGUGGGGUCUCUUCCUUCCUGGUGGUGACAGGGCCUUCUGAGUUUGCUAAGCACAGAUCUACACUGCAUCAAAGAGAUCAGAGAGGUGACUGGGAAAGGCAGAUUUGGUCAUGGUCCUCCCCAGCUAAAAACCUGUUGCCCUCAGGAGGAAGUCUGAGCCCGCCUUAGCUCCAUGGCCUCAGCUUCUGCAGUCUCCGUAUCAUCCACAGCUCACAGCCUCCUGCCGAUCAGUCAGCACGUCUUUCCAGACCUUCUGCUUGAAAUGCGAGUCUUCUAACAACUUGCCUGCUGAACUCCUACUCCUCCUUUCAGGGCUCAGCUUAAGCAUCGCCUGUGGCCAGGGCUCAGGGCCUGCCCUGCACCUUUCAUAUCGCCUCUCUGGGAGUGGCUUGUUUAAACAUCCCGGGAGCCUGGAGAGGUGGUAUCACAGGCAUUUGAACCAGAGCGACUCCAUCUUGAGUGAGGGCUAGGAAAAUGAAGUUGGGACUUGCAUUCCCAGAAGGCUAUUCCCAGCCUCUAGAUGUUUACAGUUAAGGAAAUGGAUUAAUAAUGUUUACUAACAAACCCAAACUUCGGAGUGUCCAGAUAUCCCGAUAUCUCGAGAACAAAGGCAUUCCUAAUUUUGCUUCAAAGAUAAUAAUAUUGAUUCUUGCAAAAUUUGGUAAUUUUAAAAAAGAAUCCUUUAUCACAAACCCUGUAGCAGAGCACAUCUCCCCAUGAUCUUUUUUUAUCCUAUAUAUAUACAAGCACUGUACCUAGGGUGGAUGCAUUCCUCCUCUUACUUUUGGGAAUGCCCUAUUCUGUCUAUGGAGUAGCUGUUCUUUCACCACUUGACUUUCUAAAUAAACUUGCUUUUCCUUUGCACCGCAGACUCGCCCUGAAUUCUUUCUUGAGCAAGAUCCAAGAUCCCUCUCUUGGGGUCUGGAUCGGGACCCCUUUCCUAUAACAGUGCGACCAGGCUGUCCCUGCUCACCAAGGUGUCUGGGCACGGUCGGUGACUGCUCUUUGUAGGUCUCGGUGAAAACCUGCGGAGGAAUGAGUGAGUGUAAGAAAGGGAAGGAGACAUUUUUAAUUAAGACCAGGCAAGAUUAGGCAAUAGGAGAAAAGACAGAUAUGAGUCAAAGCUUACUCACAUGUUCCUGGCCUGGGAGGCAGAGAUAGAUUGUCACUGUCCGCAGCCACGGCAGAGCUGGGCUGUAUCCUGGGCCUGAAAUGAAGAGGUACCUCCCUCUCCUCCCCUGCUUCCUGGGAUUCUGGGCCUGACAUCCUAUAGCAGGGUACACUGGAGACAGGGCCAGAUGAGUUGCCACACUGCAUUGUCCCUGGCAUGUCACCAUUUUUUGUAAUUUAUUGUUUUUUACUGUGGUGAAAUACACCUAACAGCCGGGCACAGUGGCUUACACCUGUAAUCCCAGCACUUUGGGAGGCUGAGGCAGGCAGAUCACUGGAGGUUCGGAGUUCAAGACCAACCUGGUCAACAUGGUGAAACCCCAUCUCUACUAAAAAUACAAAAAUUAGCCAGGCAUGGUGAUGGGCACAUGUAAUCCCAGCUACUUGGGAGGCUGAGGCACGAGAAUCGCUUGAACCCGGGAGGUGGAGGUUGCAAUGAGCUGAGAUCGCACCACUGCACUCCAGCCUGGUGACAAAGCUAGACUCCAUCUCAAAAAAAAAACAAAACAAAACAAAACAACAUCUUGCUUAGUAAGUUUGUGCUUGACCGAAAACUGAGGGGAAGAGCUAAAAUGAGACGUGAGAGUUAAGAUGGGAUUGCUGAGUGAGUCAAAAGAAAUUAAGAUUGAACUUGACAGUCAGCAUUUAAAAGAGAGAAGUCAGAUGCACAUCGACAAACUGGCCAUCUUUCAUACGGAAAAGAUCUGAGGGUUUGC